RNAcentral lists this long non-coding RNA (1288 nucleotides) under Helianthus annuus (common sunflower). Its description in RNAcentral is "hypothetical non coding rna". Lineage: Eukaryota; Viridiplantae; Streptophyta; Magnoliopsida; Asterales; Asteraceae. The record is from RNAcentral.
GUAUUACUCUCUUCAAAAAUCAUGCGGUUUCAGGCGGUUUCGUCCUCCCUACCCACGUUUCCCGCUUUCUCCUCCCCAACCGCCCCAGGUCACCCACUAUAAAUCCUCCCCUACCCAGCAUCAUCAUCAAGGCCUCGCUCUUUCCUAUUUUGCAUCGGUUAUCAAGGGUUUUUUAUUUCUUUGGAUCUCCUUCCACACGUUGCGGCUCUCUAUGCCAUACAUACACAAAUCAACCUUCUCUGAUCUCUUAUGGUUUCUCCCCCACUGCAAUUGAAGAAGAAUUUGUGAACCACAUCAUAACAGAGCAUAUUUGAGGGGCAAAAUCCUCUAUUUCCAAGAAUUUUAGGACAUGAAGCUGGAGGGGUUAUGGAGAGUGUUGGGGAAGGAGUGAAUGAUCUACAGCCAGGGGAUCAUGUUCUUCCUGUUUUCACCGGAGAGUUCAAAGAGUGUGCUCACUGUUUCUGAGAAAUUGGGGGCUAAUAAUGUGGAGAAGAAGCAACAAAAUGGUGGGACAAUGAGUCAAAUAUCUCCUAGUAGGACUAUCUUUGUUUGACGAGUUUCUUCGGAGUCAAUCUUCUAAAAAUGAUGUUGAGUUCCAAGAAUCAAAUGGAAACCGUGUCUUGUAGACUAUGCUCAAUUAGGAGCAGAAAAUUUAAAAAAAGGAUAUGGAGGCAUGUCAACAUUUGGUUCUUGAACCGUCAAAUUUGGAAUUUGACACCGCGCCUGAUUUCCAGUUGAGUCAGCUUGGUCGAAACAAUUCUUUUUUGUGGAUUAAAUGGGUUGUAUAACCUUUCCCGAUUGCAGCACUAACACGUUGUACGUUAUCAUCAGUGACUCAUUGCUGGAUGACAUUGCUAACAAGUGGAAAAAAGUAGGGGGUCGAACAAGUGGAAAAAAGUAGUUUAUUUGGUAAUCCAAGCUGCAGUUUGGUGCAUUUGGAGGGAGAGAAACAAGCUAAUUUUUUACAAUAAGCGACAGAGCGUGGGAAAAGUGGUGAAGGAAAUAAAGGCAUUGGUGCUUCUGUGGAUUUGGAACAGGGCUAAACUGUUCGGGCUUACAUGGGAUAAAUGGCGAGAGUUUGAUUUACUUUGUAUGGGAGUAUAAUAUGUUUCUGUAUGCUGGUGGAUGUAACUUUGGGCUAAUCAUUUGUUAGCAUGUUAUUAAUAUAAAGAUAUAUGUUGUUGGCCGAUAAAAAAAAGAGCUGAUGCAAUUUGAUUCACUGUAAUUGCUAACAACCUCGCUUUGCUAUGUUUUUAGGCAUAACAAUCUACAUAUGAACACUUUUGGU